GUAGAGUUUCUUCCAAGACCCAGACCCAAUCCCAAGGGAACCGAGCUGUUUACACUUUUCUCCGUAUGGCUACAAUGCGAGGAAUGUACGUGUCCAUGCCGAGAAUUUGCACUGGCAUUCACAUCAACUACGUGGCUAUUUCCAUUAGGUUGAUCAGACCGAGUACCCAGCCCAUUUUGUAGGUUCAAGUUUCUGGUCAUAUGCAUCAUAUGAAUUUCCUCAGAUUGAGGUGACUCUUCAUUGUACUCGGUGUCUUCGUUGUAGCCAUUUAUUAAAAAGUCAGAGCAGUUUUUCUUGCAACCAUGAUCAUAUGGAUUUUUAAAUCGGCC
RNAcentral lists this long non-coding RNA (329 nucleotides) under Daucus carota (carrot). Its description in RNAcentral is "long non-coding RNA (DCAR_LNC002901)". The record is from RNAcentral. Lineage: Eukaryota; Viridiplantae; Streptophyta; Magnoliopsida; Apiales; Apiaceae.